This 301-nucleotide ribosomal RNA is filed under the name uncultured bacterium. Its description in RNAcentral is "partial 16S ribosomal RNA". It matches the Rfam family "Bacterial small subunit ribosomal RNA", at positions 509 to 807 of the family's 1533-position model. The record is from RNAcentral.
CAGUAGCCGCGGGAAAACGAAGGGGGCUAGCGUUGCUCGGAAUUACUGGGCGUAAAGGGAGCGUAGGCGGACAUUUGAGUCAGGGGUGAAAUCCCAGAGCUCAACUCUGGAACUGCCUUUGAUACUGGGUGUCUUGAGUGUGAUAGAGGUAUGUGGAACUCCGAGUGUAGAGGUGAAAUUCGUAGAUAUUCGGAAGAACACCAGUGGCGAAGGCGACAUACUGGAUCAUUACUGACGCUGAGGCUCGAAAGCGUGGGGAGCAAACAGGAUUAGAUACCCCCGUAGUCCCUGUCUCUUAUAC